RNAcentral lists this ribosomal RNA (292 nucleotides) under uncultured bacterium. Its description in RNAcentral is "partial 16S ribosomal RNA". It matches the Rfam family "Bacterial small subunit ribosomal RNA", at positions 505 to 796 of the family's 1533-position model. The record is from RNAcentral.
GUGCCAGCCGCCGCGGUAAUACGGGGGGUGCAAGCGUUGUUCGGAUUUAUUGGGCGUAAAGCGCGUGUAGGCGGUUUCUUUAGUCUGAUGUGAAAGCCCCGGGCUCAACCUGGGAAGUGCAUUGGAUACUGGGAGACUUGAGUACGGGAGAGGGUAGUGGAAUUCCGAGUGUAGGAGUGAAAUCCGUAGAUAUUCGGAGGAACACCGGUGGCGAAGGCGGCUACCUGGACCGAUACUGACGCUGAGACGCGAAAGCGUGGGGAGCAAACAGGAUUAGAAACCCGUGUAGUCC